GAUGAACGCUGGCGGCGUGCCUAAUACAUGCAAGUCGAGCGAACAGACGAGGAGCUUGCUCCUCUGACGUUAGCGGCGGACGGGUGAGUAACACGUGGAUAACCUACCUAUAAGACUGGGAUAACUUCGGGAAACCGGAGCUAAUACCGGAUAAUAUAUUGAACCGCAUGGUUCAAUAGUGAAAGACGGUUUUGCUGUCACUUAUAGAUGGAUCCGCGCCGCAUUAGCUAGUUGGUAAGGUAACGGCUUACCAAGGCAACGAUGCGUAGCCGACCUGAGAGGGUGACCGGCCAACCUGAAACUGAGACACGUCCCAGACCCCUACGGGAGGAAGCAGUAGGGAACUUUCGGCAAGGGGCGAAGGCUUGACGGAGCAACGCGGCGGGGGUGAUGAAGGUCUUCGGAUCGUAAACCCCUGUUAUAGGGAAGAACAAAUGUGUAAGUAACUAUGCACGUCUUGACGGUACCUAAUCAGAAAGCCACGGCUAACUACGUG
Molecule: ribosomal RNA, 496 nt
Filed under: uncultured bacterium
Lineage: Bacteria
Description: partial 16S ribosomal RNA
Rfam family: Bacterial small subunit ribosomal RNA
Source: RNAcentral